This 497-nucleotide ribosomal RNA is filed under the name uncultured bacterium. RNAcentral's name for it is "partial 16S ribosomal RNA". It matches the Rfam family "Bacterial small subunit ribosomal RNA", at positions 29 to 523 of the family's 1533-position model. The record is from RNAcentral.
UUGAACGCUGGCGGCAGGCCUAACACAUGCAAGUCGAGCGGCAGCGCGGGGCAACCUGGCGGCGAGCGGCGGACGGGUGAGUAACGCGUAGGAAUCUACCCAGUAGCGGGGGAUAGCCCGGGGAAACUCGGAUUAAUACCGCAUACGCCCUAAGGGGGAAAGCAGGGGAUCGUAAGACGUUACACUGUUGGAAGAGCCUGCGUUGGAUUAGCUAGUUGGUAGGGUAAAGGCCUACCAAGGCGACGAUCCAUAACUGGUCUGAGAGGAUGAUCAGUCACACCGGAACUGAGACACGGUCCGGACUCCUACGGGAGGCAGCAGUGGGGAAUAUUGGACAAUGGGGGCAACCCUGAUCCAGCCAUGCCGCGUGUGUGAAGAAGGCCUUCGGGUUGUAAAGCACUUUAAGUGGGGAGGAAGGUUCGGCAGCUAAUACCUGCCGGAAGUGAUGUUACCCACAGAAUAAGCACCGGCUAACUCUGUGCCAGCCGCCGCGGUAA